UCACUUCACAUUAAUCUUCGCGUGCCUAUAUAGGGCCUGCUCGCUUCGGCGGGCUAUGACGAUAAAUUGCGGCGUGCAAUAGGCACGGCGGACCCGGGGGCAGUACCCGGCGGCUCCACCAUUGCGUUCGCCUCCACCGAGCAAGUGGGCGGACGCAUUGUUGGGGCCGAACCAGGAUCGACGCGUGUUGAAAGGCGCUGUUUUCGUCCGGGCUGAGUAACCCGUUAAAGGCUCAAAACCAAUAAGUGCCAACGAUAACGAAGCACUUGCUCUCGCUGCGUAAUGUGACGGCCUAGCGGCCUGAAUUUACAAAGCUAAGAACGCGGUUGGUCCGACCGGUCAACAGAACGGAUACGGGGCUCCGGGGGUAGCUAGCAACAGAAACCCCCACC
Molecule: transfer-messenger RNA, 392 nt
Filed under: Pseudoblastomonas halimionae
Lineage: Bacteria; Pseudomonadati; Pseudomonadota; Alphaproteobacteria; Sphingomonadales; Erythrobacteraceae
Rfam family: Alphaproteobacteria transfer-messenger RNA
About the family: Bacterial tmRNA, also known as 10Sa RNA or SsrA, is named for its dual tRNA and mRNA-like properties.
Source: RNAcentral